CCUACGGGUGGCAGCAGUGAGGAAUAUUGGUCAAUGGGCGGAAGCCUGAACCAGCCAAGUCGCGUGCAGGAUGACGGCCCUACGGGUUGUAAACUGCUUUUAUACGGGAAUAACGCGCCUUACGUGUAGGGCUUUGCAUGUACCGUAUGAAUAAGGAUCGGCUAAUUCCGUGCCAGCAGCCGCGGUAAUACGGAAGGUCCGGGCGUUAUCCGGAUUUAUUGGGUUUAAAGGGAGCGUAGGCCGGAUGUCAAGCGUCGUGUUAAAUGUGCGGGCUCAACCCGGGCCUUGCAGCUGAACCUGGCGUGCUUGAGUGAGCGGAAAGCAGGCGGAAUGCGUGGUGUAGCGGUGAAAUGCAUAGAUAUGACGAAGAACCCCGAUUGCGAAGGCAGCUUGCUGGCGCUGAACUGACGCUGAUGCUCGAAAGCGUGGGUAUCGAACAGGAUUAGAUACCCCAGUAGUC
This 460-nucleotide ribosomal RNA is filed under the name uncultured bacterium. RNAcentral's name for it is "partial 16S ribosomal RNA". It matches the Rfam family "Bacterial small subunit ribosomal RNA", at positions 338 to 795 of the family's 1533-position model. The record is from RNAcentral.